RNAcentral lists this unclassified non-coding RNA (350 nucleotides) under soil metagenome. RNAcentral's name for it is "partial contains 5.8S ribosomal RNA, internal transcribed spacer 2, and large subunit ribosomal RNA". The stretch from base 2 to 120 matches the Rfam family "5.8S ribosomal RNA", at positions 36 to 154 of the family's 154-position model. The record is from RNAcentral.
UAUGAAGAACGCAGCGAACUGCGAUAAGUAAUGUGAAUUGCAGAAUUCAGUGAAUCAUCGAGUCUUUGAACGCACAUUGCGCCCCCUGGCAUUCCGGGGGGCAUGCCUGUCCGAGCGUCAUUGCUGCCCUUCAAGCCCGGCUUGUGUGUUGGGUCGUCGUCCCCCCCGGGGGACGGGCCCGAAAGGCAGCGGCGGCACCGCGUCCGGUCCUCGAGCGUAUGGGGCUUUGUCACCCGCUCGAUUAGGGCCGGCCGGGCGCCAGCCGGCGUCUCCAACCUUCUAUUUUACCAGGUUGACCUCGGAUCAGGUAGGGAUACCCGCUGAACUUAAGCAUAUCAAUAAGCGGAGGA